Molecule: ribosomal RNA, 380 nt
Filed under: uncultured eukaryote
Lineage: Eukaryota
Description: partial 18S ribosomal RNA
Rfam family: Eukaryotic small subunit ribosomal RNA
Source: RNAcentral
CAAUAGCGUAUGUUAAAGUUGUUGCAGUUAAAAAGCUCGUAGUUGGAUUUGUGGCGUACGGUGGGUUCCGGGCACUUGUUGUCUGAGUAACUUGCUGUUGCCAUCCUUGGGUGGAACCUGUGUGGCAUUAGGUUGUCGUGCAGGGGAUGCCCAUCAUUUACUGUGAAAAAAUUAGAGUGUUCAAAGCAGGCUUAUGCCGUUGAAUAUAUUAGCAUGGAAUAAUGAGAUAGGACUUUUUUGCUAUUUUGUUGGUUUGCGCAAAGAGGUAAUGAUUAAUAGGGACAGUUGGGGGUAUUCGUAUUCCAUUGUCAGAGGUGAAAUUCUUGGAUUUUUGGAAGACGAACUACUGCGAAAGCAUUUACCAAGGAUGUUUUCAUUAA